RNAcentral lists this unclassified non-coding RNA (248 nucleotides) under uncultured Eurotiomycetes. RNAcentral's name for it is "sequence contains ITS2". The stretch from base 1 to 52 matches the Rfam family "5.8S ribosomal RNA", at positions 103 to 154 of the family's 154-position model. The record is from RNAcentral. Lineage: Eukaryota; Fungi; Ascomycota; Eurotiomycetes.
AACGCAUAUUGCGCCCUUUGGUAUUCCGAAGGGCAUGCCUGUUCGAGCGUCAUUAUCAACCCUCAAGCCUGGCUUGUCAUUGAACCUCUUGUCGUUGAAAGGACGGGUUCGAAAGAUAAUGACGGUGUCGCGAUCGACCCUAGAUGCAACGAGCUUCACAGCACGCAUGUUAGUGGCCGGCCGGCCCCGGUCUUAACCUUAAUUCAAUGGUUGACCUCGGAUCAGGUAGGAUUACCCGCUGAACUUAA